GCUAGUGUAGCUUAAUACAAAGCAUAGCACUGAAGAUGCUAAGAUGGGCCGUAAAACGCCCCAUGCGCA
RNAcentral lists this transfer RNA (69 nucleotides) under Canthophrys gongota (Gongota loach). Its description in RNAcentral is "tRNA-Phe". It matches the Rfam family "tRNA". Rfam says of the family: Transfer RNA (tRNA) molecules are approximately 80 nucleotides in length. The record is from RNAcentral. Lineage: Eukaryota; Metazoa; Chordata; Actinopteri; Cypriniformes; Cobitidae.